CCUACGGGAGGCAGCAGUGAGGAAUAUUGGUCAAUGGCCGGAAGGCUGAACCAGCCAAGCCGCGUGAAGGACGAAGGUGCCAAGCAUUGUAAACUUCUUUUGUCAAGGGACAAAAUCAGGCUCGAGAGCCUGACCGAGGGUACUUGAAGAAAAAGCAUCGGCUAACUCCGUGCCAGCAGCCGCGGUAAUACGGAGGAUGCGAGCGUUAUCCGGAUUUACUGGGUGUAAAGGGAGCGCAGGCGGCACGGCAAGCCUGAUGUGAAAGCCCGCGGCCCAACCGCGGGACUGCAUUGGGAACUACCGGGCUGGAGGGCCGGGGAGGGAGGCGGAAUUCCUAGUGUAGCGGUGAAAUGCGUAGAUAUUAGGAGGAACACCAGUGGCGAAGGCGGCCUACUGGACGGUGACUGACGCUGAGGCUCGAAAGCGUGGGUAUCGAACAGGAUUAGAUACCCUUGUA
Molecule: ribosomal RNA, 457 nt
Filed under: uncultured bacterium
Lineage: Bacteria
Description: partial 16S ribosomal RNA
Rfam family: Bacterial small subunit ribosomal RNA
Source: RNAcentral